Molecule: long non-coding RNA, 1439 nt
Organism: Culex pipiens pallens (northern house mosquito)
Lineage: Eukaryota; Metazoa; Arthropoda; Insecta; Diptera; Culicidae
Exons: 3
Source: RefSeq, a predicted model, not a curated record
AUAGAAAUCCUGUCCGUGUGUUUGAAAACAUUAGGCGAUAAAAUCGAAAACAUUGAAUGUUUUCGAUUUUGAAAACAAUGUUUUCGAUAAUGUCUACAAUGUCGACGAAAUCGGUGAUUUUGUUGCCUACAUUUCGGCGCCCGCCGUUUUCUGCUUUACAUAAUAUCGACCACCACGGUAAACAGUGAUGACGUUUCGGGACUUUGUUUAUUUUAGCAAACAGAUCAAAACAAACUUUUUGGCCACUUAGCCGCGUCGCGCCGGGUUCCCGGGCCGUUUUUCUAUUACCGUGACCAGGUAUCUCCAACGUCGUCAACGUUUCCGCAGUUUUGAUUACGGUGUUCGUUUUUGUAUUGGUGAAUUCGGAAGACGCGACCGGUUCCUCGUCCACGUUUUCGGAUACGGAAAAGUCCCGGUGCGGUGAGCUUUUUCGGCAAUUGAAAUUAUUAGGCUGUGAAAUGUUGUGCUUUUGUCAAUGUUUUACUUUUGAACGCAGUUUUGGAUGGAUUAGUUUGGUGAGUUUCAGCCGGAACAGCCCGGAUCAGCCAAGGGUUGCUGGACGAGAUUUGUUUGGCUAUAUCUAGCUUGGUGCAUGCAGCUCGUGCCAUUCCAUGUGGUCUAAUUCGAUGACCAUGAUCCGUUGCGGUUGUCCAGAGACCGCUGCCAUGUUGUUGGUUGAUUGCGGCGACGUCGUCGGCGAAUCACCUUGGCCGGAUGUGCAGCUGCGCACCGACGCGAUCACGCUGACCUCGCCCGAUGAGUACGUCGCAUCUGAUUUGCUCCAAGUGCUGAUCUGAAAGGGCAGCGGCUCUUUGAAAGUCUGAAAUGCCAGCUGAUGUUUGGAUGCCAGCUCAUCAUGACUACAAAACACCUGCUUACACUGCGCGAAUACUUAAGGGCUCCGCUCCGUCGGUCCAGAAUGUCAUAGUGAUUCUGUCCUCGGCAAAGGAGAUCGUCAACCCGACUACGCAGCGACAAGCCACGUUCCGGCAUCAAUUUGGAUGUUAGACCGUCCGCCUGUGCUGUGCUGGUCCAGCGUGGACCCAAAACUGACGGAAUUUACCACUAGUCUCUAAGAUGUCAAUCCACAUUUUACCUAAAUCGAGUGUACACCUUUGUGUGCAAGUUAAUUUUUGAUUAUAAAACGAAAAUAAAAGAAAUUUUAUGCAAAUCAGUAGUUUUCUGAUAUGAUUAACUAUUCCGGAACAGUUUUGAACUAUAACGGCCAAUUUGAAAGCAAAAUAUCGACGCUAUAUCGAUACUUUGCAAAUUGCAUACAUCUAGGCGCAUUCAAACCGUGAAAUUGAUGUUGACGGAAUCGACAACAUUUUUUAUCGAUUUCGUUGCAAUUGUUACCGGACGACUGGUCGAAAACAUUCCGAAACGAAUUUUAGAACGAAUCGAGAACAAUGUUGUCGAUUUCACGGACAGGAUUUCUA